Molecule: ribosomal RNA, 492 nt
Filed under: uncultured bacterium
Lineage: Bacteria
Description: partial 16S ribosomal RNA
Rfam family: Bacterial small subunit ribosomal RNA
Source: RNAcentral
AGUGAACGCUGGCGGUAGGCCUAACACAUGCAAGUCGAACGGCAGCACAGUAAGAGCUUGCUCUUACGGGUGGCGAGUGGCGGACGGGUGAGGAAUACAUCGGAAUCUACUUUUUCGUGGGGGAUAACGUAGGGAAACUUACGCUAAUACCUCAUACGACCUACGGGUGAAUGCAGGGGAUCUUCGGACCUUGCGCGAUUGAAUGAGCCGAUGUCGGAUUAGCUAGUUGGCGGGGUAAAGGCCCACCAAGGCGACGAUCCGUAGCUGGUCUGAGAGGAUGAUCAGCGACACUGGAACUGAGACACGGUCCAGACUCCUACGGGAGGCAGCUGUGGGGAAUAUUGGGGAAUGUGCGAAAGCCUGAUCCAGCCAUACCGCGUGGGUGAAGAAGGCCUUCGGGUUGUAAAGCCCUUUUGUUGGGAAAGAAAAGCAGCAGGUUAAUCCCCCGCUGUUCUGACGGUACCCAAAGAAUAAGCACCGGCUAACUUCGUG